ACUAAGUGCAUGUGGUGGAUGCCUUGGCGAUUACAGGCGACGAAGGACGUGAUAGCCUGCGAUAAGCUUCGGGGAGCUGGCAAAUUAGCUUUGAUCCGGAGAUUUCCGAAUGGGGAAACCCACCCGCAAGGGUAUCGCAUACUGAAUACAUAGGUAUGCGAGGCGAACCGGGUGAACUGAAACAUCUCAGUAGCUCGAGGAAAAGACAUCAACCGAGAUUCCGAAAGUAGUGGCGAGCGAAAUCGGAGGAGCCUGCACGUUUUAGCAGUUGGUAUAUCAGAACGGAAUGGAAAGUCCGGCCAUAGCGGGUGAUAGCCCCGUAUGAAAAAUGUUGGCUGUGGAACUAAGCGUGCGACAAGUAGGGCGGGACACGUGAAAUCCUGUCUGAAUAUGGGGGGGACCAUCCUCCAAGGCUAAAUACUCGUAAUCGACCGAUAGUGAACUAGUACCGUGAGGGAAAGGCGAAAAGAACCCCGGGAGGGGAGUGAAAUAGAUCCUGAAACCGCAUGCAUACAAAAAGUAGGAGCCCGCAAGGGUGACUGCGUACCUUUUGUAUAAUGGGUCAGCGACUUACAUUCAGUGGCGAGCUUAACCGAAUAGGGAAGCCGCAGGGAAACCGAGUCCGAAUAGGGCGAAUCAGUCGCUGGGUGUAGACCCGAAACCAAGUGAUCUAUCCAUGGCCAGGAUGAAGGUACCGUAACAGGUGCUGGAGGUCCGAACCGACUAGUGUUGCAAAACUAGCGGAUGAGCUGUGGAUAGGGGUGAAAGGCUAAACAAACUUGGAAAUAGCUGGUUCUCUCCGAAAACUAUUUAGGUAGUGCCUCAAGUAUUACCAUCGGGGGUAGAGCACUGUUAUGGCUAGGGGGUCAUGGCGACUUACCAAACCAUUGCAAACUCCGAAUACCGAUGAGUACAGCUUGGGAGACAGAGCACCGGGUGCUAACGUCCGGACUCAAGAGGGAAACAACCCAGACCGCCAGCUAAGGUCCCUAAAAUUGGCUAAGUGGGAAACGAAGUGGGAAGGCUAAAACAGUCAGGAUGUUGGCUUAGAAGCAGCCAUCAUUUAAAGAAAGCGUAAUAGCUCACUGAUCGAGUCGUCCUGCGCGGAAGAUGUAACGGGGCUAAGCCAGUUACCGAAGCUGCGGAUGUGCAAUUUAUUGCACGUGGUAGGAGAGCGUUCUGUAAGCCUGUGAAGGUGGGUUGUGAAGCCUGCUGGAGGUAUCAGAAGUGCGAAUGCUGACAUGAGUAGCGUUAAAGGGGGUGAAAAGCCCCCUCGCCGUAAGCGCAAGGUUUUCUACGCAACGUUCAUCGGCGUAGAGUGAGUCGGCCCCUAAGGCGAGGCAGAGAUGCGUAGCUGAUGGGAAACAGGUCAAUAUUCCUGUACCGAUCUAUAGUGCGAUGUGGGGACGGAGAAGGUUAGCUCAGCCAACUGUUGGAUAUGUUGGUUCAAGCCUGUAGUCGUGCCUGGUAGGAAAAUCCGCCGGGCUUAGAUGAGGGGUGAUAACGAGUCUGCUUGCAGACGAAGUGAGUGAUACCCUGCUUCCAGGAAAAGCCACUAAGCUUCAGCUAUAGACGACCGUACCGCAAACCGACACUGGUGCGCGAGAUGAGUAUUCUAAGGCGCUUGAGAGAACUCUGGAGAAGGAACUCGGCAAAUUGACACCGUAACUUCGGAAGAAGGUGUGCCUUUAGUAGGUGAACCAUGUACAAAGGGAGCCCAAUGAGGCCGCAGAGAAUCGGUGGCUGCAACUGUUUAUUAAAAACACAGCACUCUGCAAAGACGAAAGUCGACGUAUAGGGUGUGACGCCUGCCCGGUGCUGGAAGAUUAAAUGAUGGGGUGCAAGCUCUUGACUGAAGUCCCAGUAAACGGCGGCCGUAACAAUAACGGUCCUAAGGUAGCGAAAUUCCUUGUCGGGUAAGUUCCGACCUGCACGAAUGGCGUAACGAUGGCCACACUGUCUCCUCCAGAGACUCAGCGAAGUUGAAAUGUUUGUGAUGAUGCAAUCU
This 2008-nucleotide ribosomal RNA is filed under the name Ischnura elegans. RNAcentral describes it as "bacterial LSU rRNA". It matches the Rfam family "Bacterial large subunit ribosomal RNA", at positions 10 to 2067 of the family's 2925-position model. The record is from RNAcentral. Lineage: Eukaryota; Metazoa; Arthropoda; Insecta; Odonata; Coenagrionidae.